UACGUAGGGUCCGAGCGUUGUCCGGAAUUACUGGGCGUAAAGCGCGCGCAGGCGGCCCGCGAGGUGUCACGUGAAAGCCCCGGGCUCAACCCGGGAGGGUCGUGGCAAACCGGCGGGCUUGAGGCCGGUAGAGGUGGGUGGAACUCCUGGUGGAGUGGUGAAAUGCGUAGAGAUCAGGAAGAACACCCGUGGCGAAGGCGGCCCACUGGGCCGGUACUGACGCUGAGGCGCGAAAGCGUGGGGAGCAAACAGG
RNAcentral lists this ribosomal RNA (253 nucleotides) under uncultured bacterium. Its description in RNAcentral is "partial 16S ribosomal RNA". It matches the Rfam family "Bacterial small subunit ribosomal RNA", at positions 524 to 776 of the family's 1533-position model. The record is from RNAcentral.